GGGGGGGGGGUUGGGGGGUGGGUAGAAAUGGACUGGGAAGAAAACUCACGAUUUCUGAACCCACAAAAGGAAGAAAGAAAGCUAUCUGAAGAAAGUAAGCAGUAUUGUGUUAAAUUUAUACUCUCCUAUAAAAAUUUAAUGGCCCAUUUUCCCCCCAGGCCAGGAAGAUAGCAAAGUCUUAGGAGAAAAUUCCUCUUGGCUCCUAAAAGGUUCACAGUUCCCUGUGGAAAAAUCAAAUUACCCAACUGAGUGCAAAGUGGAAGUGGAUGGACUGUUUCAUUGGGCAGAUCUACCUGAAUUUGUGGGGUUGGAGAGGCAGUGAACUUCCACACUUGGGGACAACGUAACUAGAGAAGCCCACUUUGGAGAAGCUUCAGUCUUCAUCAUCCACCCCUAGAGUAUUACUCAUGGGAAUCCGGAAAAGAAAACCCGUUGUAUGAAGGAAAUCGCUUUUCAAACUUUCAAUUCCAUCCAAACGUUUACGGAGUGCCUAUUAUGUACCCAGCACUGCGCUUGGUGCUGCUUAUACGUGGAUGGGCAAGGUAGUUCUGGUCCCUGGCCAGCUGGAACUUAAAGGCUAGAGGGGAAAACGGCUUUAAAUAUUUCAACCAGAGGCUCUGACCAACUAACCAGCAAGAUCUGGAGCAAGGAGAUCUGGAAAAGGAGGAGACCAGCACACUGGCUAUCCCACAGGGCUGUUAAAAGCUCGUAGAAUAAACAGGUUAGAAAAACAGUUUGCAAAAGUCCAAACUGUUACACAAGGGGAAGAUAAUCGUCUCUGAUGGGUCAAAGGGGCCAAGGACUGCUCAAAUCCUAAGGAAAGAGACAACAAGCACCCAAACCACCACGCCUCAACAAUCAGAAGGUCAACCAGAACACUCAGGCAUAUCAGAAUGAGAACAGGCUCUGGAGUCCCGCAGACAGGCCCUGCCAUGUGCUCAGCUGUGCGGUGAACCUAUUUCUUUACCGGUUCUUCCUCUGAAAAUUGGAUGAGAAUUCCUACAUUUCCCCCAGGGGUUGUCCUAAGGAUCUGAAUUUAGAGACCAUUUUAAAGCACCUAGUAAAGUGUCUGACACGUGUAUGCCCUCAAUGGUAGAACUGCUUUCGCUUCAUGAUGCAAAGAUGAAAAGGCCCAUUUUAGGGAGAAGGGAACAAGUUUAGCCAACUGAGAAAGCUCCGGGGAAGCCGAUGCUGCAGUUACAAUUCAGAAUAUCCCAGCUAAGAGUUAACCAUCCUGGCUGCUGACACAAAGUAAUGGAUCAGAAGCUGAGUCAUGUUAAAAUUAAAAAAUGGCAUGCUACUUACUUCUAUGUGUUCUUUACAGUAUUCCAACCCAAUGUCACUAAGUAUUUUUUUCACAGUUUUCCGGGCUUUCCUUAAACUGCCAAGAUUGUUGACAGGAAGUUGGAACAUAGUUUCUAUUGGAAAAAAAAAUUUAAGUCAAGUCAGAACACGUACAACUUGUAAUAUUUCCUAGUUCCACUGAUGGCAGGACCACAAACCCUGGCCCACUGACAAAGAAGGUGAGCAGACACCCUUACCGAGUCUGUUCUGCAGGCAAGGUAAGUGCUCUCUGACCUCGUCUAACAGGACAUCUUACAUCACAGAUGGACUAAUUCUAGAGCUUAACUUCAUCACCAAACUGGUUUUUUUAAAGUUGAGAAUUAGGUUAAUAAUACCAACCCAUUAUUUUAAAAUUGAGUGUGAGUGCUUUUCUCCUUGUGAUGCUGAGCCUCUGAAAAUAGAAAAAUGUUCACCAUUCCAGCAUCAUUGCCACAUAAUUUUGAGUGCCAGGGAAAAGAAGUGUUUGUUUUCUGGGAACCGUCCUGCAUGCCGCUAUGAUAUUCUUAAAGAAAUCUCCUUCAGUGUUUCCAUAUACUAUCCCAACUACAGACACUAACGGUUGUGUAGCCUGCCCCCCAGCCAGCACCACACCUGGACAAAGGCACUCACUUAUAUGGUGAUGGGGAAAGCUAGGCACUCAGCAUCAGAGCAAGUGCUGUGUUACAGAUUUUAGGGGAUCCUUUUGAAAAAUGAAAAGCCUAUAUAUGUGUGAAGGAACUGAAAAAUUAUUUAAAUGACCUAACACAUUAAAGCAGAAAUUUAGAUCCACUUCACCAAGUUCCUUAAAAAACAAAAGUUAAGAAAAUAAAA
Lynx canadensis (Canada lynx) is the source of this 2154-nucleotide long non-coding RNA. RefSeq lists it as uncharacterized. The record is from RefSeq and is a predicted model, not a curated record. The transcript is spliced from 2 exons. NCBI's taxonomy places the organism in Eukaryota, Metazoa, Chordata, Mammalia, Carnivora, Felidae.